RNAcentral lists this ribosomal RNA (1920 nucleotides) under uncultured Burkholderiales bacterium. RNAcentral describes it as "bacterial LSU rRNA". It matches the Rfam family "Bacterial large subunit ribosomal RNA", at positions 615 to 2534 of the family's 2925-position model. The record is from RNAcentral. Lineage: Bacteria; Pseudomonadati; Pseudomonadota; Betaproteobacteria; Burkholderiales.
AUGGGUCAGCGACUUACGUUCAAUGGCAAGCUUAACCGAGUAGGGGAGGCGCAGCGAAAGCGAGUCCGAACAGGGCGAUAUGAGUCGUUGGGCGUAGACCCGAAACCAGAUGAUCUAUCCAUGGCCAGGCUGAAGGUGUGGUAACACACACUGGAGGGCCGAACCGACUAGUGUUGCAAAAUUAGCGGAUGAGCUGUGGAUAGGGGUGAAAGGCUAAACAAAUCUGGAGAUAGCUGGUUCUCCCCGAAAACUAUUGAGGUAGUGCCUCGUGUAUGGCUCCAGGGGGUAGAGCACUGUUAUGGCUAGGGGGACAUGGCGUCUUACCAAACCAUGGCAAACUCCGAAUACUUGGAAGUCUGAGCACGGGAGACAGAGCACCGGGUGCUAACGUCCGGACUCAAAAGGGAAACAACCCAGACCGCCGGCUAAGGUCCCUAAUAUUGACUAAGUGGAAAACGAAGUGGGAAGGCUAAGACAGUCAGGAAGUUGGCUUAGAAGCAGCCAUCCUUCAAAGAAAGCGUAAUAGCUCACUGAUCGAGUCUUCCUGCGCGGAAGAUGUAACGGGGCUAAGUCAAUAACCGAAGCCGCGGAUUCGCAGCAAUGCGAGUGGUAGGGGAGCGUUCUGUAAGCCUGCGAAGGCGGAUCCGCGAGGACCGCUGGAGGUAUCAGAAGUGCGAAUGCUGACAUGAGUAACGUUAAAGCGGGUGAAAAGCCCGCUCGCCGCAAGCCCAAGGUUUCCUGCUCUACGUUCAUCGGAGCAGGGUGAGUCGGCCCCUAAGGUCAGGCUGAGAAGCGUAGCUGAUGGGAAGCUGGUUAAUAUUCCAGCACCGAUUUCAAGUGCGAAGGGGGGACGGAGUCCUGAAGGUCAUCCGGGUGUUGGAUAUCCCGGUUUACGAGCGUAGGAGGUUGACAGGCAAAUCCGUCAACGGAUCUCCAAGGCGAAGGAUCGAGGUUGAGAGAUCAACUGAAGUGACUGAAUGGGCUUCCAGGAAAAGCCUCUAAGCAUCAGCUUGGAAUUGACCGUACCGCAAACCGACACUGGUGGGCGAGCUGAAUAUGCUCAGGCGCUUGAGAGAACUCAGGAGAAGGAACUCGGCAAAUUGACACCGUAACUUCGGGAUAAGGUGUGCCUUUGUAGUGUGAAGGGAGAAACACCCCGAGCAUGAAGAGGCCUCAGAGAAUCGGUGGCUGCAACUGUUUACUAAAAACACAGCACUCUGCAAAGAUGAAAGUCGACGUAUAGGGUGUGAUGCCUGCCCGGUGCUGGAAGAUUAAUUGAUGGGGUGCAAGCUCCUGAUCGAAGUCCCAGUAAACGGCGGCCGUAACUAUAACGGUCCUAAGGUAGCGAAAUUCCUUGUCGGGCAAGUUCCGACCUGCACGAAUGGCAUAAUGAUGGCCACACUGUCUCCUCCUGAGACUCAGUGAAGUUGAAAUGUUUGUGAUGAUGCAAUCUCCCCGCGGCUAGACGGAAAGACCCCAUGAACCUUUACUGCAGCUUUGCAUUGGACUUUGAACCGAUCUGUGUAGGAUAGGUGGGAGGCAGUGAAGCUAGGACGCCAGUCUUAGCGGAGCCAACCUUGAAAUACCACCCUGAUUUGUUUGAGGUUCUAACCUAGGAGCGUAAUCCGCUUCGGGGACCGUGCAUGGUAGGCAGUUUGACUGGGGCGGUCUCCUCCUAAAGGGUAACGGAGGAGUGCGAAGGUACGCUAGGUACGGUCGGAAAUCGUGCUGAUAGUGCAAUGGCAAAAGCGUGCUUGACUGCGAGACCGACAAGUCGAGCAGAUACGAAAGUAGGUCAUAGUGAUCCGGUGGCUCUGCAUGGAAGGGCCAUCGCUCAACGGAUAAAAGGUACUCUGGGGAUAACAGGCUGAUACCGCCCAAGAGUUCAUAUCGACGGCGGUGUUUGGCACCUCGAUGUCG